Populus euphratica (Euphrates poplar) is the source of this 364-nucleotide long non-coding RNA. RefSeq lists it as uncharacterized. The record is from RefSeq and is a predicted model, not a curated record. NCBI's taxonomy places the organism in Eukaryota, Viridiplantae, Streptophyta, Magnoliopsida, Malpighiales, Salicaceae. The transcript has 3 exons.
GAAGAACAUUUAACUCUGCCUUAAUUUUUGUUCGAGCAGAAAAAGAAAUAUCAUGAUUGAGGUGAAUAUUUAUCACUGGUGAAUCAAUCCAAAAGCACCACUGGUGAAUCGAUCCCAUCCAGCUUCUACAAGCGGAGAAUAUGGUGAUUGAGGUAGAGGUAUUAAUCUAUUUAAGCAACAUUUAGCUGGAGCGAAAAGACAAGUGGAACAAUGUCGCAAAUGUCCUCCAGAUAUUUGUCAUCAAAUGCUUUUGAAUCUUCAGCAAAGAAGGUUGAUGAAUUGAAGAUUUUUGUUGAAAUUUUCAAGAAAUUUGGAAGAAGACUGGUUGCACAUUGAUGGCUGAUGGAUGGACAGAUCAAAAAAG